GCCCCGUUGGCAUAAUGGUACUGCGUUGCUUUCCUACUCUGGAAAAGAAAGGCAAAGAUUCCAGGUUCGAUCCCUGGGCGGGGCU
This is a non-coding RNA of Cantharellus anzutake, 85 nucleotides long. The record is from the annotation of a RefSeq genome assembly. Lineage: Eukaryota; Fungi; Basidiomycota; Agaricomycetes; Cantharellales; Hydnaceae.